UAGGGAAUCUUCGGCAAUGGGGGGAACCCUGACCGAGCAACGCCGCGUGAGUGAAGAAGGAUUUCGGUUCGUAAAACUCUGUUGUUAGAGAAGAACAGCGCAUAGAGUAACUGUUAUGCGUGUGACGGUAUCUAACCAGAAAGCCACGGCUAACUACGUGCCAGCAGCCGCGGUAAUACGUAGGUGGCAAGCGUUGUCCGGAUUUAUUGGGCGUAAAGCGAGCGCAGGCGGUCAAUUAAGUCUGAUGUGAAAGCCCCCGGCUCAACCGGGGAGGGUCAUUGGAAACUGGUUGACUUGAGUGCAGAAGAGGAGAGUGGAAUUCCAUGUGUAGCGGUGAAAUGCGUAGAUAUAUGGAGGAACACCAGUGGCGAAGGCGACUCUCUGGUCUGUAACUGACGCGGAGGUUCGAAAGCGUGGGUAGCAAACAGG
Molecule: ribosomal RNA, 429 nt
Filed under: Bacteroidota bacterium
Lineage: Bacteria; Pseudomonadati; Bacteroidota
Description: Bacteroidetes bacterium partial 16S ribosomal RNA
Rfam family: Bacterial small subunit ribosomal RNA
Source: RNAcentral